This 479-nucleotide long non-coding RNA is filed under the name Helianthus annuus (common sunflower). The record is from RNAcentral. Lineage: Eukaryota; Viridiplantae; Streptophyta; Magnoliopsida; Asterales; Asteraceae.
UCUCAAACCUCAUCGAAUGACCUCCGAACUUAUGCUUCUUUAAUGAGAUAUAUUUGUGUAAGCAACAAGCAAAUCCAAUAUUGGUUUCUAGUUAUGAAAGAUAUUUGACUUUUCAGGUCAAUUCCAAGCACAAAAAUAUUAUGGGAAGACUGAGCUUUUAGAAAAUCUGAUGUACAUUUGGGAUGGAGAAUUUGGGUGAUUGUUAUAAAUCAUGAGUAGGUUUACAUCGAACUUACAAGAAUGAUUCCGGAUGAGUUGGGCUCAAGACUGGCUAGCUAUAUGGACCCUUAUACAUAUGGUCAAAGUGAAAGAGUUAUUCCCAGGGGGGUCGGGGCGCCGCGUUGUGGCCCAAAGACCAUCACGCGUGAACUUGAUGACUCGUGGUGGUGACAACGUGUGAAAAAUUCUUCCCAAACAUCCCUGCUUCCUUCUCCUUCAUAUGAUAUCAUGGGUGUGGUGAGUGAUGGGCACCCCCACUA